UGUACACUUUCCCUUGUCGUUUUGAUCAGGGCUAUGCUUUGAUAGAAUAUGAGAAGAAAGAAGAUGCACAGAAGGCGAUAUCAGCAAUGAAUGGUGCUGAGCUUCUAACGCAGAAUGUCACUGUUGACUGGGCAUUCAGCAGUGGUCCCAGUUCUGGUGGAUCUCACUGGAGAAAAAACCAGAGGUCUGGGAGGUCCCAGCGUUCACGAAGCCCGAGAAGACGUUACUGAUUGUAUUAUGAUUUGGUAUGGAGAGUUGUUUCCACAUCUCUCGGUAUUUGGGAUCCUCUCUCUAUCUGUAAGGUACGGUUACAAGGCGUGAGUGUUGGACAAAUUUUUUUUUGCAGUUAUGUAGGGUUUGGCUGCUUUUGCGUUGUUUAAUCUUAUGCCUUUGUAUGGGAUUUGUUGCGUUUAAACACCAUGAGAUCUGUUUUAAUGCUUUGUGUUGGUAAAAAAAAAAAAAUACAUUGGAUGAGGAAGAUGUUUUAAUUUUCAGUC
Camelina sativa (false flax) is the source of this 497-nucleotide non-coding RNA. Lineage: Eukaryota; Viridiplantae; Streptophyta; Magnoliopsida; Brassicales; Brassicaceae. The record is from RefSeq and is a predicted model, not a curated record.